UAGUCAUAUGCUUGUCUCAAGGAUUAAGCCAUGCAUGUCUAAGUAUAAGCAAUUUAUACAGUGAAACUGCGAAUGGCUCAUUAAAUCAGUUAUCGUUUAUUUGAUAGUACCUUUACUACUUGGAUAACCGUGGUAAUUCUAGAGCGAAUACAUGCUAAAAAUCCCGACUGUUUGGAAGGGAUGUAUUUAUUAGAUAAAAAAUCAAUGCUUUUCGGAGCUCUUUGAUGAUUCAUAAUAACUUUUCGAAUCGCAUGGCCUUGUGCUGGCGAUGGUCCAUUCAAACUUCUGCCCUAUCAACUUUCGAUGGUAGGAUAGUGGCCUACCAUGGUUUCAACGGGUAACGGGGAAUAAGGGUUCGAUUCCGGAGAGGGAGCCUGAGAAACGGCUACCACAUCCAAGGAAGGCAGCAGGCGCGCAAAUUACCCAAUCCCGACACGGGGAGGUAGUGACAAUAAAUAACGAUACAGGGCCCUUUCGGGUCUUGUAAUUGGAAUGAGUACAAUGUAAAUACCUUAACGAGGAACAAUU
This 528-nucleotide ribosomal RNA is filed under the name uncultured eukaryote. RNAcentral's name for it is "SSU rRNA". It matches the Rfam family "Eukaryotic small subunit ribosomal RNA", at positions 21 to 549 of the family's 1831-position model. The record is from RNAcentral.